CAAUGGGCAGACACAGAGCAGAAAGUGGCGGACUUGGGCGGCCACAGGCAGGCAUCAACAUUUACAUUGUAAUUCAAUAGACGCUACUACUACAAAGGAGCUUUAUUCUUCCAGCUUAAUAUGGUUGCUGCGGGAACACUGCAGGAUGAAACUGACUUUUUUUGUGGUAAUGUUUCUCCUGGUUGGGAACAACGCAAAUUAGCAAAGGCGUAAUUUAUAACCGCUGCUACCAAAGAGUGAAGUAUUUGUGGAAGUUCUGACUGGAAUCUAGCUCGUACAUAUGGAUUGUGGAAAUAAAGGAGGACGUGGAAAGCUUGCCAUAUUUUAUUUCAAGUUAAUACUAAAGCUGCCAGACUUAAUACAACUUUCUUUUAAUCUUUAUGGAUCACAUAUUUUCUGAAAAUUACAUGAUAAAACAAGGUUUGGUUUGUUCCAUGUGUCCAUUUUCAACAAUAAAUUUCAAAAUUGUAUUUUUAAAAAACAAUAUAAACACACACUUUAAAGAAAUAAUAUAUUUUAAGACAAUGCAGGUACUAUUUUAAUAUAAUAUUUUAAGAUAAUGCAAUACCUAUCAUGUUCCUCUCCUUUUUAGAGGCAGCCAUAUUCUGCUUUUAUCUGUCUCUUCUGUCAUUUACCUCCCUAUUUCUAAAUAAUUUGUACUGCCAUCUCUUGAUUUGCCAAUAGAUGUUGUGCUCUGACUACCUGUUGCUUCAGAUUAGGAUUUAGCUCUUUCAUGCCAAGCAACUUCUCCUUCCAACACAGCACUUUCACAGUUUAGGAGCUAAGUAAGUGACUAUGCCAAUAGCAAUGACAACACAGCCAAUAGUGUACUAUUCUUGUUUUCUUCCUUAUAAAACCUUGUAUCUAUUUACUUAGUUUGUUAUGCCCCAUCCUGAUAUUUUUCUACAACUGAUCUAUCAAAUGACUAUCAUGUUUAUUUUCCAAAUGAUCAAACAAUCAAUUCCAAUUUUGCCCUGAA
Molecule: long non-coding RNA, 979 nt
Filed under: Homo sapiens (human)
Lineage: Eukaryota; Metazoa; Chordata; Mammalia; Primates; Hominidae
Description: HSALNT0141272
Source: RNAcentral